RNAcentral lists this ribosomal RNA (253 nucleotides) under uncultured bacterium. RNAcentral describes it as "partial 16S ribosomal RNA". It matches the Rfam family "Bacterial small subunit ribosomal RNA", at positions 524 to 776 of the family's 1533-position model. The record is from RNAcentral.
UACGAAGGAUUCGAGCGUUAUCCGGAUUUAUUGGGUUUAAAGGGUGCGUAGGUGGAUUAAUAAGUCAGUGGUGAAAGCCCGAAGCUCAACUUCGGAACUGCCAUUGAUACUGUUAAUCUUGAGUACAGUUGAGGUGGGCGGAAUGUGUCAUGUAGCGGUGAAAUGCUUAGAUAUGACACAGAACACCGAUUACGAAGGCAGCUCACUAAGCUGUAACUGACACUGAGGCACGAAAGUGUGGGUAGCAAAUGGG